AGGUAGCGAAAUUCCUGGUCGGGUAAGUUCCGACCUGCACGAAUGGCGUAAUGAUGGCCAGGCUGUCUCCACCCGAGACUCAGUGAAAUUGAACUCGCUGUGAAGAUGCAGUGUACCCGCGGCAAGACGGAAAGACCCCGUGAACCUUUACUAUAGCUUGACACUGAACAUUGAGCCUUGAUGUGUAGGAUAGGUGGGAGGCUUUGAAGUGUGGACGCCAGUCUGCAUGGAGCCGGCCUUGAAAUACCACCCUUUAAUGUUUGAUGUUCUAACGUUGACCCGUUAUCCGGGUUGCGGACAGUGUCUGGUGGGUAGUUUGACUGGGGCGGUCUCCUCCUAAAGAGUAACGGAGGAGCACGAAGGUUGGCUAAUCCUGGUCGGACAUCAGGAGGUUAGUGCAAUGGCAUAAGCCAGCUUGACUGCGAGCGUGACGGCGCGAGCAGGUGCGAAAGCAGGUCAUAGUGAUCCGGUGGUUCUGAAUGGAAGGGCCAUCGCUCAACGGAUAAAAGGUACUCCGGGGAUAACAGGCUGAUACCGCCCAAGAGUUCAUAUCGACGGCGGUGUUUGGCACCUCGAUGUCGGCUCAUCACAUCCUGGGGCUGAAGUAGGUCCCAAGGGUAUGGCUGUUCGCCAUUUAAAGUGGUACGCGAGCUGGGUUUAGAACGUCGUGAGACAGUUCGGUCCCUAUCUGCCGUGGGCGCUGGAGAACUGAGGGGGGCUGCUCCUAGUACGAGAGGACCGGAGUGGACGCAUCACUGGUGUUCGGGUUGUCAUGCCAAUGGCACUGCCCGGUAGCUAAAUGCGGAAGAGAUAAGUGCUGAAAGCAUCUAAGCACGAAACUUGCCCCGAGAUGAGUUCUCCCUGACUCCUUGAGAGUCCUGAAGGAACGUUGAAGACGACGACGUUGAUAGGCCGGGUGUGUAAGCGCAGCGAUGCGUUGAGCUAACCGGUACUAAUGAACCGUGAGGCUUAACCUU
RNAcentral lists this ribosomal RNA (977 nucleotides) under human gut metagenome. RNAcentral's name for it is "bacterial LSU rRNA". It matches the Rfam family "Bacterial large subunit ribosomal RNA", at positions 1954 to 2925 of the family's 2925-position model. The record is from RNAcentral.